Molecule: ribosomal RNA, 465 nt
Filed under: uncultured bacterium
Lineage: Bacteria
Description: partial 16S ribosomal RNA
Rfam family: Bacterial small subunit ribosomal RNA
Source: RNAcentral
GACGAACGCUGGCGGCGUGCUUAACACAUGCAAGUCGAACGGAAAGGCCCUGCUUGCAGGGUACUCGAGUGGCGAACGGGUGAGUAACACGUGGGUGAUCUGCCCUGCACUUCGGGAUAAGCCUGGUAAACUGGGUCUAAUACCGGAUAGGAGCCAUUUUUAGUGUGAUGGUUGGAAAGUUUUUUCGGUGUAGGAUGAGCUCGCGGCCUAUCAGCUUGUUGGUGGGGUAAUGGCCUACCAAGGCGGCGACGGGUAGCCGGCCUGAGAGGGUGGACGGCCACAUUGGGACUGAGAUACGGCCCAGACUCCUACGGGAGGCAGCAGUGGGGAAUAUUGCACAAUGGGCGCAAGCCUGAUGCAGCGACGCCGCGUGGGGGAUGACGGCCUUCGGGUUGUAAACUCCUUUCGCUAGGGACGAAGCUUUUUGUGACGGUACCUAGAGAAGAAGCACCGGCUAACUACGUG